Molecule: small nuclear RNA, 95 nt
Organism: Ailuropoda melanoleuca (giant panda)
Lineage: Eukaryota; Metazoa; Chordata; Mammalia; Carnivora; Ursidae
Source: Ensembl
GUGCUCUCUUCAGCAGCACACAUACUAAAAUUGGAAUAAUAUACAGAGAAGAUUAGCAGGCCCCUGUGCAAAUUCAUGAAGGAUUCCAUAUUUUU